UCUGGAGGACAGGUGCUGCAUGGCUGUCGUCAGCCCGUGUCGUGAGAUGUUGGGUUAAGUCCCGCAACGAGCGCAACCCUUGCCUUUAGUUGCCAGCAGUUCGGCUGGGCACUCUAAAGGGACUGCCGGUGUUAAACCGGAGGAAGGUGGGGAUGACGUCAAGUCCUCAUGGCCUUUAUGACCAGGGCUACACACGUACUACAAUGGCCGAUACAAAGGGCAGCGACACUGCGAGGUGAAGCCAAUCCCGUAAAAUCGGUCUCAGUCCGGAUUGGAGUCUGCAACUCGACUCCAUGAAGUUGGAAUCGCUAGUAAUCGUGGAUCAGCAUGCCACGGUGAAUACGUUCCCGGGCCUU
Molecule: ribosomal RNA, 356 nt
Filed under: uncultured Desulfobulbus sp.
Lineage: Bacteria; Pseudomonadati; Thermodesulfobacteriota; Desulfobulbia; Desulfobulbales; Desulfobulbaceae
Description: bacterial SSU rRNA
Rfam family: Bacterial small subunit ribosomal RNA
Source: RNAcentral